GAUGAAGAACGCAGUGAAAUGCGAUAAGUAAUGUGAAUUGCAGAAUUCAGUGAAUCAUCGAAUCUUUGAACGCACAUUGCGCCCGUCAGUAUUCUGGCGGGCAUGCCUGUUCGAGCGUCAUUACGCCCCUCAAGUCCCCUGUGGACUUGGUGUUGGGGAUCGGCGAGGCUGGUUUUCCACCACAGCCGUCCCUUAAAUUAAUUGGCGGUCUCGCCGUGGCCCUCCUCUGCGCAGUAGUAAAACACUCGCAACAGGAGCCCGGCGCGGUCCACUGCCGUAAAACCCCCCAACUUUUUAUAGUUGACCUCGAAUCAGGUAGGACUACCCGCUGAACUUAAGCAUAUCAAUAAGCGGAGGA
Molecule: unclassified non-coding RNA, 358 nt
Filed under: soil metagenome
Description: partial contains 5.8S ribosomal RNA, internal transcribed spacer 2, and large subunit ribosomal RNA
Rfam family: 5.8S ribosomal RNA (bases 1-120)
Source: RNAcentral